RNAcentral lists this long non-coding RNA (384 nucleotides) under Parus major (Great Tit). RNAcentral's name for it is "lncRNA (ENSPMJG00000018584.1)". The record is from RNAcentral. Lineage: Eukaryota; Metazoa; Chordata; Aves; Passeriformes; Paridae.
CAAAGUUGCAGUGGCUGAAACUCUAAUAGGGUCCUGAGAAAAUUUUUUUCUCAAAAUGGGUCUAUUAAGAAAAGAAAAUUUGCCUUGCUAUUUCAAUAAAUCAUAGCUCAAUCUUUGAAAUUCACAAGUUUCAAGACUUGGAGAAAGCCAAGAGUCCACUUGUGAGUCCCUAAAACAUUGCAGUGCCUCCUGUGGUUGUACCUUUAGAACUGUAUUGCCAGUGCAGCAAUGUUGCUAUUAAUGAGAACUCCCUAGCUGUGGCUUCAUCGUCAAUGCCUCCACAGCAGGAAAAUCCCUGCAGAGCAUGAUUUGUGCUAAAGGUUCUAUCCCAGGUCCGAGUCCUGUCCAGCACCAGCACCCAAUGCAGAUCUUGGAGAGCAAAUG